This 1395-nucleotide long non-coding RNA is filed under the name Coturnix japonica (Japanese quail). RNAcentral describes it as "lncRNA (ENSCJPG00005021483.1)". Lineage: Eukaryota; Metazoa; Chordata; Aves; Galliformes; Phasianidae. The record is from RNAcentral.
CUUUUAAGGAUGAAUGAAGAAGCCCUUCUAGAUAGAUUUUGUUCUCAGACUGAGUUCUCAGUCUUCUGCACAAAUCCUUCAGUGAGAUUUUUAACAUUCACUGCUUAUAGCAAAAGUGUAACACCACAGUGACAUCCACACACAAUUUUGUAGAAUUUGUUGUAUCUGACAGUGAUCUUCAUUAAUGAUGAUUAGGAAAUAAUAGGAGAAUGUCGUUACAGUGAAUUUGCUUUGGUAAAAGAGUGCAAUAUAUUGUCUAGAAAAUGGAAAUAACAACUAAAAAUCAGCUCCUUCCCAGCUAUGCCACUGAAUAAUGAAAUCUUAUUUCACUUACCCAUGUUAUUGCUUUUCUCUUUCUGCUAAAAAUGUAAGUAAUCUGGAACUGGCCAUCUUUGCACAGCAUCAGUCGUAGUUGAGCCCCAAACUUUGACGCUGCUCAUCUCAUUGUACUGUAAGAUAAUAUAAUAAUCUUUUCGACAGGAAGAGAAAAAGAUGUAACUCUUCCAGUAAUCCUAGAUAAUGAUCUGUGAACAACAUUGUAGCUUUUCAUUUCAGGAGAGGUUUUUCCCUUUACUGAAAAAGGCCUGAGGCUUUGUACAGACAGCAAAAUUCCAGGUCUUGGGGACUUCUGAGCAGAUUCUAGCAUUGUUAGUUUUGAAAACAGCUGUGUAGCAAGCAGAUAACUUUUGCCUUAAUUUAUUUUAGUUUUAUUUUUACAGAGAUGAAAAGUAAUUGCUCUGUGUAGGUUGAAUUGUCUGAGCCAUCCACAAUCAAGCGCUGUGCAGAAGAUUUUAGACCUUCCUACACCAUCAGCCUUAGGACUCAAGAGGACUUUUGAAUGAUCCUGGUCAUUAAUCCAUGGAUUAAUGCUGCCAUCACACUCAGGGCCUCCAUCUGCGCAUCUGGAGAAGACUGAAUCAUAUAAAAACAUUUCUUCUUCUAAUUGAGAUAACCCUGAAAAUACAAACUGAAGAGGAGAAACACACUCUGCACGCUGUGGUAGGAGAGCAAUGCGUUGAUGCCAUAUUUCCAGGUUGUUCUUUAUUCUCUCUGUUGCUGUUGUCAACGUGGCUUGUCAGAUCCUCGUUGGAAAACAAACGGAAUGUAUUGCCCUGUCCAGACCUGGAAAUCUCGAUGAUUUCUGUCAUACUGUACUCCAAAAAUUAUUCUGAAGCAUUUUCUAGUUCAGAGUGAGUUAUUUUCAGCACUCUGAAACCCAAGAAAUGAACAACAAAUAAUAUAUAAGACAUGCCCCAAAAUCUGAGCCUAUUCGUUUCAAUGGAUGUAUUGUAACCAUACCUUCAAAACUUCAGCUUAUAAGCGAUAAAAAUAUUGAACAAAAAUUAUAUGUGAGAACUUUUAGAAAGGAAUAAAUGUGUAUCCAAUACAAACCCA